GCUUCGCGAGUGCCGCCCGAGUCUCUGGCUUGGGUGUGUGCUCGGUCUUGGGUGUUUGGGCUUCGGCUCAGGCGCCCGGGUCGGUCUUUAUCUAACCAAUCAACACCAAACCUAUCCAUCUAAAGCAAAGCAUGCAAUCGGCUUAGAGCUGUUGCAUACCAACCAAGACAACUCUCAACAACGGAUAUCUUGGCUCUCGCAACGAUGAAGAACGCAGCGAAAUGCGAUACGUAGUGUGAAUUGCAGAAAUACGUGAACCAUCGAAUCUUUGAACGCGUAUUGCGCUCGAGGCUUCGGCCAAGAGCAUGUCUGCCUCAGCGUCGGGUUAAUCCUCGCCCAACCAAUCCAUGGAUUGAACGGGCGGAUCUGGCUUUCCCAGGCCUAGUGUCUGGGUUCGCUGAAGCACAGAGGUUGAUGCAUGGACCCGAUAAGGGCCGCAACUGGGUAGGCAACUUGUUGCUAAUGCUUUAGUUGUUGGCUUGGGACUGUGCUUGUCGACCCGAAAUCAGGAAGGGCUUCGGCCCUAUUAACCUUUA
RNAcentral lists this ribosomal RNA (536 nucleotides) under uncultured Chlorophyta. RNAcentral describes it as "eukaryotic LSU rRNA". The stretch from base 170 to 323 matches the Rfam family "5.8S ribosomal RNA". The record is from RNAcentral. Lineage: Eukaryota; Viridiplantae; Chlorophyta.